Molecule: ribosomal RNA, 468 nt
Filed under: uncultured bacterium
Lineage: Bacteria
Description: partial 16S ribosomal RNA
Rfam family: Bacterial small subunit ribosomal RNA
Source: RNAcentral
GACGAACGCUGGCGGCGUGCUUAACACAUGCAAGUCGAACGGAAAGGCCCUGCUUUUGUGGGGUGCUCGAGUGGCGAACGGGUGAGUAACACGUGAGUAACCUGCCCUUGACUUUGGGAUAACUUCAGGAAACUGGGGCUAAUACCGGAUAGGAGCUCCUGCUGCAUGGUGGGGGUUGGAAAGUUUCGGCGGUUGGGGAUGGACUCGCGGCUUAUCAGCUUGUUGGUGGGGUAGUGGCUUACCAAGGCUUUGACGGGUAGCCGGCCUGAGAGGGUGAACGGCCACAUUGGGACUGAGAUACGGAGCAGACUCCUACGGGAGGCAGCAGUGGGGAAUAUUGCACAAUGGGCGGAAGCCUGAUGCAGAAACGCCGCGUGCGGGAUGACGGCCUUCGGGUUGUAAACCGCUUUCGGCUGUGACGAAGCGUGAGUGACGGUAAUGGGUAAAGAAGCACCGGCUAACUACGUG